RNAcentral lists this ribosomal RNA (373 nucleotides) under uncultured bacterium. RNAcentral's name for it is "bacterial SSU rRNA". It matches the Rfam family "Bacterial small subunit ribosomal RNA", at positions 523 to 898 of the family's 1533-position model. The record is from RNAcentral.
AUACGGAGGGUGCAAGCGUUAUCCGGAAUCAUUGGGUUUAAAGGGUCCGCAGGCGGGACUGUAAGUCAGUGGUGAAAUCCGGCAGCUCAACUGUCGCACUGCCAUUGAUACUGCAGUCCUUGAAUUCGAUUGGAGUGGGCGGAAUAUGUCAUGUAGCGGUGAAAUGCUUAGAUAUGACAUAGAACACCGAUAGCGAAGGCAGCUCACUAAGUCUGAAUUGACGCUCAUGGACGAAAGCGCGGGUAGCAAACAGGAUUAGAUACCCUGGUAGUCCGCGCCGUAAACGAUGAUUACUCGUUGUCGGCUCUUCGGAGUCGGUGACUAAGCGAAAGUGAUAAGUAAUCCACCUGGGGAGUACGAUCGCAAGGUUGAA